Molecule: ribosomal RNA, 445 nt
Filed under: uncultured bacterium
Lineage: Bacteria
Description: partial 16S ribosomal RNA
Rfam family: Bacterial small subunit ribosomal RNA
Source: RNAcentral
CCAGACUCCUACGGGAGGCAGCAGUGGGGAAUAUUGCACAAUGGGGGAAACCCUGAUGCAGCGACGCCGCGUGAGCGAUGAAGUAUUUCGGUAUGUAAAGCUCUAUCAGCAGGGAAGAAAAUGACGGUACCUGACUAAGAAGCCCCGGCUAACUACGUGCCAGCAGCCGCGGUAAUACGUAGGGGGCAAGCGUUAUCCGGAUUUACUGGGUGUAAAGGGAGCGUAGACGGCGGUGCAAGCCAGAUGUGAAAGCCCGGGGCUCAACCCCGGGACUGCAUUUGGAACUGUGCUGCUAGAGUGUCGGAGAGGCAGGCGGAAUUCCUAGUGUAGCGGUGAAAUGCGUAGAUAUCAGGAGGAACACCGGCGGCGAAGGCGGCCUGCUGGACCGUAACUGACGUUGAGGCUCGAAAGCGUGGGGAGCAAACAGGAUUAGAUACCCUCGUAA